CACAUUGAAUGCAAUGUAUUCACUUAGGCAUCAUGUAUUGUGACGGCUCUCUUUUCGCAACACCAUACCUGAUUUACGGUUAACGGCUGAUACCAGGCUGAAGCUGCAAGUAAAGUUGAGAAAUACCCAUAGACUUCAGUCACCGCAUAAUAGAAAAAACCCGCCCUAUUUUGGAGAUUUCGCAAUUUGGGUUUUCCGUGGAGGGGAGGAGUUGAACUUUCUGGUACAUGAUUCACUUCCUUCAUCAUGGCAGUACGCAGAGCAUUAUUUAUUUCCUUCAAUUUAAAUAUGUUGUCGUAGCACUUAGCCUGUACCUAUAAGCCAAUAAUGCAGCUUAUGUUGAAGUCUAGAAGAAAGAAUGGUGUCUGAUUGAGGUAUCGAAUAGCCUGCUGAAAUAAGUAUUUCUUUGGUGGCUUUAUCUACUCCUAAAUCCAACAACACAAUGCGAGGAGUGUUAUUUAACUUAAAUUACCAGUGGUACCUGGGAGAUCGCAAGGGGGGCUCGCGGUGAAUUGCAUAUCAAGAUACCUCAAAGUAGUUUACGACGGCUGGCAGUCAUUCGUCAAACGGACAGCCGGCUGUCACCUCACCCUACAAUAGCCACUCUGCCCUACACGGCGUGUCACCUCUGGUCGCAGUCUUCAGCGCUACAGAGGGAACCGGUGGAUUUGUGGAGAUGGUUCUCUUCACCACAGCUCUCCUGUCUCUCUCAGUCGCCAUGGUGGGAGUAGGAGGGGCUACUCCAGCCGCCACUCAAUCCAGUGUCCACUCAGGUGAGUGGCAGUUCAGACAAGGUUUUGAUUGGUCAGUAUUAUGCUCCACUCCAAAUAUGACCCCUAGUCCCCUCCGUAGCAAAUUAAUGUAGAUUAGAAAAGAUUGGAUGUGAAUAUGAGAAUAGCUCCGCUUUGCUAAAUGGAGUUCACACCAUAUUUAUUACACCUAUCCAGUCCUUCCCAAACUGUCCCACAUCUACGUGUUUAGGGUGUAGGGGCUUGGGGUAGAGUCCUACACGGGUCAGUUUUUUUGAGCCACACCCGCCCCACGCCAGCCACAUCAAUUUCGAGCCCCACCAGAUACCCGACACCAGGACAGAUUUUUCUCCACAACCCGACCCACCCGGAUUGAAUUGUUCCGAGAGCUGAUCCGUUACCCGCCAUAUGACAUUAA
Coregonus clupeaformis (lake whitefish) is the source of this 1167-nucleotide long non-coding RNA. RefSeq lists it as uncharacterized. The record is from RefSeq and is a predicted model, not a curated record. The transcript is spliced from 3 exons. Lineage: Eukaryota; Metazoa; Chordata; Actinopteri; Salmoniformes; Salmonidae.